Molecule: ribosomal RNA, 468 nt
Filed under: uncultured bacterium
Lineage: Bacteria
Description: partial 16S ribosomal RNA
Rfam family: Bacterial small subunit ribosomal RNA
Source: RNAcentral
GACGAACGCUGGCGGCGUGCUUAACACAUGCAAGUCGAACGGAAAGGCCCUGCUUUUGUGGGGUGCUCGAGUGGCGAACGGGUGAGUAACACGUGAGUAACCUGCCCUUGACUUUGGGAUAACUUCAGGAAACUGGGGCUAAUACCGGAUAGGAGCUCCUGCUGCAUGGGGGGGGUUGGAAAGUUUCGGCGGUUGGGGAUGGACUCGCGGCUUAUCAGCUUGUUGGUGGGGUAGUGGCGUACCAAGGCUUUGACGGGUAGCCGGCCUGAGAGGGUGACCGGGCACAUUGGGACUGAGAUACGGCCCAGAAUCCUACGGGAGGCAGCAGUGGGGAAUAUUGCACAAUGGGCGGAAGCGUGAGGCAGCAACGCCGCGUGCGGGAUGACGGCCUUCGGGUUGUAAACCGCUUUCGCCUGUGACGAAGCGUGAGUGACGGUAAUGGGUAAAGAAGCACCGGCUAACUACGUG